Molecule: ribosomal RNA, 253 nt
Filed under: uncultured bacterium
Lineage: Bacteria
Description: partial 16S ribosomal RNA
Rfam family: Bacterial small subunit ribosomal RNA
Source: RNAcentral
UACAGAGGGGGCAAGCGUUGUUCGGAAUUACUGGGCGUAAAGGGCGCGUAGGCGGCCGCCUAAGUCAGACGUGAAAUCCCCGGGCUCAACCUGGGAAUUGCAUUCGAUACUGGAUGGCUAGAGUUCGGCAGAGGGAAGCGGAAUUUCCGGUGUAGCGGUGAAAUGCGUAGAUAUCGGAAGGAACAUCAGUGGCGAAAGCGGCUUCCUGGACCAGAACUGACGAUCAGGCACGAAAGCGUGGGGAGCAAACAGG